This 266-nucleotide long non-coding RNA is filed under the name Ricinus communis (castor bean). RNAcentral's name for it is "long non-coding RNA (RCOM_LNC003248)". The record is from RNAcentral. Lineage: Eukaryota; Viridiplantae; Streptophyta; Magnoliopsida; Malpighiales; Euphorbiaceae.
AAUAAGAGACUAAAAUAAUAAGGGAAACUCAGAGGAUAUAUGGAGGAAACAGAAAAAGAAAAAAAAAAAAAUGGAAGAAAAGAAGUUUGUUAGUUAAAGAGUUUUGGUGGUGGGUGGUGGUGGUGCUCAUGGAGAGCGGCGUCUGUGGUGAUGGUGGUGGUGGUAGGAAGAAAGCAAGAAAGGAAGGAUGAGGAUAAGCCAUGUGCAAAUACAGUAAGGUAUGGGAUUCCAAUAUUAAUGGGAAUGGGAAUUUAGCCAACCCAGCC